GUCCACGCCGUAAACGAUGAGUGCUAGACGUCGGGGGGCUUGCCCUUCGGUGUCGCAGCUAACGCGUUAAGCACUCCGCCUGGGGAGUACGGCCGCAAGGUUAAAACUCAAAGGAAUUGACGGGGGCCCGCACAAGCGGUGGAGCAUGUGGUUUAAUUCGACGCAACGCGAAGAACCUUACCAGCCCUUGACAUGUCGGGUUUUGGGCCUUCGAGAGAAGGCCCUUCAGUUCGGCUGGGCCCGACACAGGUGCUGCAUGGCUGUCGU
This 267-nucleotide ribosomal RNA is filed under the name uncultured bacterium. Its description in RNAcentral is "partial 16S ribosomal RNA". It matches the Rfam family "Bacterial small subunit ribosomal RNA", at positions 793 to 1055 of the family's 1533-position model. The record is from RNAcentral.